UCCUACGGGAGGCAGCAGUGGGGAAUAUUGGACAAUGGGCGAAAGCCUGAUCCAGCAAUGCCGCGUGAGUGAUGAAGGCCUUAGGGUUGUAAAGCUCUUGUACCAGGGAUGAUAAUGACAGUACCUGGAGAAUAAGCUCCGGCUAACUCCGUGCCAGCAGCCGCGGUAACACGGAGGGUGCGAGCGUUAAUCGGAAUUACUGGGCGUAAAGCGCAUGCAGGUGGUUAGUUAAGUCAGAUGUGAAAGCCCGGGGCUCAACCUCGGAACUGCAUUUGAAACUGGCUGACUAGAGUACUGUAGAGGGGGGUAGAAUUUCAGGUGUAGCGGUGAAAUGCGUAGAGAUCUGAAGGAAUACCGGUGGCGAAGGCGGCCCCCUGGACAGAUACUGACACUCAGAUGCGAAAGCGUGGGGAGCAAACAGGAUUAGAUACCCUGGUAGUCCACGCCGUAAACGAUGUCUACUUGGAGGUUGUGGCCUUGAGCCGUGGCUUUCGGAGCUAACGCGUUAAGUAGACCGCCUGGGGAGUACGGUCGCAAGAUUAAAACUCAAAUGAAUUGACGG
RNAcentral lists this ribosomal RNA (562 nucleotides) under uncultured bacterium. Its description in RNAcentral is "bacterial SSU rRNA". It matches the Rfam family "Bacterial small subunit ribosomal RNA", at positions 337 to 916 of the family's 1533-position model. The record is from RNAcentral.